Molecule: ribosomal RNA, 434 nt
Filed under: uncultured Lachnospiraceae bacterium
Lineage: Bacteria; Bacillati; Bacillota; Clostridia; Lachnospirales; Lachnospiraceae
Description: partial 16S ribosomal RNA
Rfam family: Bacterial small subunit ribosomal RNA
Source: RNAcentral
ACGGAAGGCAGCAGUGGGGAAUAUUGGACAAUGGGGGAAACCCUGAUCCAGCGACGCCGCGUGAGUGAAGAAGUAUUUCGGUAUGUAAAGCUCUAUCAGCAAGGAAGAAAAUGACGGUACUUGACUAAGAAGCUCCGGCUAAAUACGUGCCAGCAGCCGCGGUAAUACGUAUGGAGCAAGCGUUAUCCGGAUUUACUGGGUGUAAAGGGAGCGUAGACGGUAAAGCAAGUCUGAAGUGAAAUCCCGGGGCUCAACCCCGGAACUGCUUUGGAAACUGUUUAACUAGAGUGCAGGAGAGGUAAGCGGAAUUCCUAGUGUAGCGGUGAAAUGCGUAGAUAUUAGGAGGAACACCAGUGGCGAAGGCGGCUUACUGGACUGUAACUGACGUUGAGGCUCGAAAGCGUGGGGAGCAAACAGAAUUAGAUACCCUGGUA